AGGCUGAUUGAAAGGGAAGGACAUUUUUCAAAGGAAAUGGGUGGAAAGUGGAAUAUCGCUUUUUGAGGUAUUUAUUGGAUGAAUGAGAGUGAAAAAACUGCCUCCGUAUUUCCAAGUAUUUCCAAUUGUCUUCCUGUUGGGCUGAAGCAACACGCGUACAGCUUCUUCAGGCAGACAGAGUCAUGUGCUGUGUGUAAAACUCACUUUGAGGACUAUCAGUAAAGUUGCUAUAGUUAUGUUACUCCUACUGUAAAUAGCGUCUAUAUUUUUGGUAUAUUUGAUUGUGCAGUGUUAUUACUUGGGUUAAAAGGGAGACGGUUAGCCAGGAGAUUAACAGGGAUUAGUGAGGAUCUCUUUGAUCACACUGUUGUAAAGCAGAUUAUGUUCAGUCUUUUAGCAGACUGUGAACGAUUAGCAGUUCUCACAGAGAGCCCACAUCUUUCAAGGUUGGAUUAAGAGGAAGGGAGGGAUACUCGACUAUUAAUUGUGUCUUUAUGUCUUUGUUUCCUCCUGUCUGUGAAAUCCAAAGUAAGUAGCAGAAACUCCCAUUGUGAUUCAUCAGAAAGCACAUCAGAAAAAGCUGAUUGCAUGCAUCUAAAGAAGAAUAAAUGCAGAGUGAAGAUGUUUCUGUCACAGGCUCACAGUGGAUGAGAGAGGGCCAUAGGUUGGUGUAGUUUCACAGUGGAUGAGAAAGGACGAUAGGUUGGUGUAGUCUCACAGUGGAUGAGAGAGGGCCAUAGGUUGGUGUAGUCUCACAGUGGAUGAGAGAGGGCCAUGGGUUGGUGUAGUCUCACAGUGGAUGAGAGAGGGCCAUAGGUUGGUGUAGAGUUUUGUGUUUUCACCAGUAAUGUGUGGAGAUUUCCUAUGAUUUGGCUGAGGCAAGAGCCAGGAGUAUGGUGGUUUUGUAGGAGAGGAUCAAAUAGUUUAAAAGUAGACACACUAGAGUGCAGAAUCAAAGACAGGUAUGCUCUGCUGCUUCUAGUGUAUAGCCGACAACAUGUGCUGUUGCUAAUUCACCAACCACAUAACAGAAAAAGUGUCUGGCCCUGAGGGAAACCCACCAUUAGUCAGGCUCUUCACUUGUUGAUCUAGACCCUUCCCAUCCUUCCUCACCUGCAACACCUGAUUCCUACAUAAC
Molecule: long non-coding RNA, 1138 nt
Organism: Esox lucius (northern pike)
Lineage: Eukaryota; Metazoa; Chordata; Actinopteri; Esociformes; Esocidae
Exons: 2
Source: RefSeq, a predicted model, not a curated record